GCACCUGCAAAAUCAGGUGCCGGGAUUGGUCUCCUGAAAUAUACCUUACUGGCGGCAUAGGACGCGCUCGCGUCUUUUUU
Molecule: small RNA, 80 nt
Filed under: Pectobacterium brasiliense
Lineage: Bacteria; Pseudomonadati; Pseudomonadota; Gammaproteobacteria; Enterobacterales; Pectobacteriaceae
Description: Pectobacterium carotovorum subsp. brasiliense isrK
Rfam family: isrK Hfq binding RNA
Source: RNAcentral